This 135-nucleotide small nuclear RNA is filed under the name Mesocricetus auratus (golden hamster). RNAcentral describes it as "U2 spliceosomal RNA". It matches the Rfam family "U2 spliceosomal RNA". Rfam says of the family: U2 is a small nuclear RNA (snRNA) component of the spliceosome (involved in pre-mRNA splicing). The record is from Rfam by way of RNAcentral. Lineage: Eukaryota; Metazoa; Chordata; Mammalia; Rodentia; Cricetidae.
AUAAACUCGGCCUUUUGGCUAAGAUCAAGUGUAGUGUCUGUUCUUAUCAGUAUAAUAGCAUUUUUUAGACAGGGUCUUGCUGUAUGUCCUUAGCUGGCCUAGAACUCACUAUUUACACCAGACUGGCUGUAAAUU